RNAcentral lists this ribosomal RNA (459 nucleotides) under uncultured bacterium. RNAcentral's name for it is "partial 16S ribosomal RNA". It matches the Rfam family "Bacterial small subunit ribosomal RNA", at positions 338 to 795 of the family's 1533-position model. The record is from RNAcentral.
CCUACGGGCGGCAGCAGUGAGGAAUAUUGGUCAAUGGCCGAGAGGCUGAACCAGCCAAGUCGCGUGAGGGAAGAAUGUCCUAUGGAUUGUAAACCUCUUUUGUCAGGGAGUAAAGUCACCCACGUGUGGGUGUUGGCGAGUACUUGAUGAAAAAGCAUCGGCUAACUCCGUGCCAGCAGCCGCGGUAAUACGGAGGAUGCGAGCGUUAUCCGGAUUUAUUGGGUUUAAAGGGUGCGUAGGGGGGUUAUCAAGUCAGCGGUAAAAUCGUGGAGCUCAACUCCAUACAGCCGUUGAAACUGAUGAUCUUGAGUGGGCGAGAAGUAGGCGGAAUGCGUGGUGUAGCGGUGAAAUGCAUAGAUAUCACGCAGAACUCCGAUUGCGAAGGCAGCAUACCAACGCCCGACUGACGCUGAAGCACGAAAGCGUGGGUAUCGAACAGGAUUAGAUACCCGGGUAGUC